UACGAAGGGGGCUAGCGUUGUUCGGAUUUACUGGGCGUAAAGCGCACGUAGGCGGAUCGUUAAGUCGGGGGUGAAAUCCUGGAGCUCAACUCCAGAACUGCCUUCGAUACUGGCGAUCUUGAGUCCGGAAGAGGUGAGUGGAACUCCUAGUGUAGAGGUGGAAUUCGUAGAGAUGUGGAGGAACACCAGUGGCGAAGGCGACUCUUUGGUCUGUAACUGACGCUGAGGCGCGAAAGCGUGGGGAGCAAACAGG
RNAcentral lists this ribosomal RNA (253 nucleotides) under uncultured bacterium. Its description in RNAcentral is "partial 16S ribosomal RNA". It matches the Rfam family "Bacterial small subunit ribosomal RNA", at positions 524 to 776 of the family's 1533-position model. The record is from RNAcentral.